RNAcentral lists this ribosomal RNA (497 nucleotides) under uncultured bacterium. RNAcentral describes it as "partial 16S ribosomal RNA". It matches the Rfam family "Bacterial small subunit ribosomal RNA", at positions 28 to 507 of the family's 1533-position model. The record is from RNAcentral.
GAUGAACGCUGGCGGCGUGCCUAAUACAUGCAAGUCGAGCGAACAGACGAGGAGCUUGCUCCUCUGACGUUAGCGGCGGACGGGUGAGUAACACGUGGAUAACCUACCUAUAAGACUGGGAUAACUUCGGGAAACCGGAGCUAAUACCGGAUAAUAUAUUGAACCGCAUGGUUCAAUAGUGAAAGACGGUUUUGCUGUCACUUAUAGAUGGAUCCGCGCCGCAUUAGCUAGUUGGUAAGGUAACGGCUUACCAAGGCGACGAUGCGUAGCCGACCUGAGAGGGUGAUCGGCCACACUGGAACUGAGACACGGUCCGGACUCCUACGGGAGGCAGCAGUAGGGAAUCUUCCGCAAUGGGCGAAAGCCUGACGGAGCAACGCCGCGUGAGUGAUGAAGGUCUUCGGAUCGUAAAACUCUGUAAUUAGGGAAGAACAAAUGUGUAAGUAACUAUGCACGUCUUGACGGUACCUAAUCAGAAAGCCACGGCUAACUACGUG